Molecule: ribosomal RNA, 195 nt
Filed under: uncultured bacterium
Lineage: Bacteria
Description: partial 16S ribosomal RNA
Rfam family: Bacterial small subunit ribosomal RNA
Source: RNAcentral
CGAUUACGGGAGGCAGCAGUGGGGGGUAUUGCACAAUGGGCGGAAGCCUGAUGCAGCGACGUCGCGUGAGGGAUGGAGGCCUUCGGGUUGUGAACCUCUGUUUCCGGUGGUGAAGGCCCUGUCCGUGUGGUGGGGUUGACGGUAGCCGGGGAUGAAGCGCCGGCUAACUACGUGCCAGCAGCCGCGGUAAUAUCG